GACGAACGCUGGCGGCGUGCCUAAUACAUGCAAGUCGAGCGGACGAAUCGAAAGCUUGCUUUUGUUUCGUUAGCGGCGGACGGGUGAGUAACACGUGGGCAACCUGCCCUGUAGACGGGGAUAACACCGAGAAAUCGGUGCUAAUACCGGAUAACACGAAAUGUCGCAUGACGUUUCGUUGAAAGACGGCGCAAGCUGUCGCUACAGGAUGGGCCCGCGGCGCAUUAGCUAGUUGGUGAGGUAACGGCUCACCAAGGCGACGAUGCGUAGCCGACCUGAGAGGGUGAUCGGCCACACUGGGACUGAGACACGGCCCAGACUCCUACGGGAGGCAGCAGUAGGGAAUCUUCCGCAAUGGACGAAAGUCUGACGGAGCAACGCCGCGUGAGCGAAGAAGGCCUUCGGGUCGUAAAGCUCUGUUGUUAGGGAAGAACAAGUAACGCAGUAACUGGCGUUACCGUGACGGUACCUAACGAGAAAGCCACGGCUAACUACGUG
RNAcentral lists this ribosomal RNA (498 nucleotides) under uncultured bacterium. Its description in RNAcentral is "partial 16S ribosomal RNA". It matches the Rfam family "Bacterial small subunit ribosomal RNA", at positions 28 to 507 of the family's 1533-position model. The record is from RNAcentral.